GGUAGGAUGGCUGAGAUUUAGGCAAUAGAUUGUAAAUCUAGUUAGGGGGUUUGACUUCUCCUACCA
Molecule: transfer RNA, 66 nt
Filed under: Perlesta teaysia
Lineage: Eukaryota; Metazoa; Arthropoda; Insecta; Plecoptera; Perlidae
Description: tRNA-Tyr
Rfam family: tRNA
About the family: Transfer RNA (tRNA) molecules are approximately 80 nucleotides in length. Their secondary structure includes four short double-helical elements and three loops (D, anti-codon, and T loops).
Source: RNAcentral